Molecule: non-coding RNA, 942 nt
Filed under: Eleutherodactylus zugi (Zug's robber frog)
Lineage: Eukaryota; Metazoa; Chordata; Amphibia; Anura; Eleutherodactylidae
Description: partial 12S ribosomal RNA
Rfam family: Bacterial small subunit ribosomal RNA
Source: RNAcentral
GGUUUGGUCCCAGCCCUAUAGUCAGUUCUUACUUAACCUACACAUGCAAGUCUCCGCACCCCUGUGAAAAUGCCCUUAAAUCCUAUUGAAUCUAAGGAGCAGGUAUCAGGCACAACAAUUUGCCCAAGACACCUAGCCAUGCCACACCCACAAGGGUUCUCAGCAGUGACCAAUAUUGAACAUAAUCGACAGCUUGAUUCAGUUAGAGUAAACAGAGCCGGCAAAUCCGGUGCCAGCCGCCGCGGCUACACCAGAGGCUCAAAUUGACCACUAUCGACGUAAAGCGUGAUUAAAGAUUUAUUAAACUAGAGCUAAACCCAGAUUAAAACGUAAAACACUUAUCUGAAGGAAACCCGUAUAACGAAAGUUGCUCUACUUUACCCAACUUGAACACACGAAAGCAGGAACAUAAACUGGGAUCAGAUACCCCAUUAUACCUGACUGUAAACUUUAACUUACACCUUAAUCGUCAGGGAACUACGAGCAAAGCUUAAAACCCAAGGGACUUGACGGUGCCCCAUACCCCCUAGAGGAGCCUGUCCUAUAAUCGAUGAUCCCCGUUUAACCUCACCAUAACUAGCUAAUCAGCCUGUAUACUUCCGUCGUCAGCCUACCACGUGAGCGAACAUCAGUUAGCAUAAUGUCCACACAUCAAUGUGCUCCUUAUCGUCAAUACGUCAGGUCAAAGUGCAGCAAAUGUUAUGGGAAGAGAUUGGCUACACUUUUUAACUUAAAAGACACGGAAAACAAAAUGAAAUUUUGUUAGAAGGCGGAUUUAGCAGUAAAAAGAAAACAUUAAGUUCCUUUUAACUCGGCCCUGGAGUGUGUACACACCGCCCGUCACCCUCUUCGAAAAUCAAUAAUAAGUACUUAACUCGUCAUAAAAAAUAGAGAAGAGGCAAGUCGUAACAUGGUAAGUGUACCGGAAGGUGUACUUGGAAA